UCUCGGCUUAUCACCGGCAGUCCCCCUAGAGUGCCCAACUGAAUGAUGGCAACUAAGGGCGAGGGUUGCGCUCGUUGCGGGACUUAACCCAACAUCUCACGACACGAGCUGAUGACAGCCAUGCACCACCUGCACACAGGCCACAAGGGAAUACCUAUCUCUAGGCACGUCCUGUGCAUGUCAAACCCAGGUAAGGUUCUUCGCGUUGCAUCGAAUUAAACCACAUGCUCCACCGCUUGUGCGGGUCCCCGUCAAUUCCUUUGAGUUUUAAUCUUGCGACCGUACUCCCCAGGCGGACAACUUCACGCGUUAGCUGCGGUACUGAGAAAUCGCUUCCCCAACACCUAGUUGUCAUCGUUUAGGGCGUGGACUAC
RNAcentral lists this unclassified non-coding RNA (374 nucleotides) under uncultured bacterium. RNAcentral describes it as "contains 16S-23S intergenic spacer region". The record is from RNAcentral.